This 73-nucleotide transfer RNA is filed under the name Pangasianodon hypophthalmus (striped catfish). Its description in RNAcentral is "tRNA-Glu". It matches the Rfam family "tRNA". From Rfam's summary of the family: Transfer RNA (tRNA) molecules are approximately 80 nucleotides in length. Their secondary structure includes four short double-helical elements and three loops (D, anti-codon, and T loops). The record is from RNAcentral. Lineage: Eukaryota; Metazoa; Chordata; Actinopteri; Siluriformes; Pangasiidae.
UCCCUGGAGGACUAGUGGUUAGGCUCUCACUGCUCUCAUCGCUGUGGCCUGGGUUCGAUUCCUGGCCAGGGAA